UGGGUUAAAUUCCCCAAUUAAAAGGCACAGACUGGCAAAUUGGAAAAAAAGUCAAGACCCAGCCCUGUGCUCUAUUCAGGAGACCCGUUUCACAUGCAAAGAAACACAUAGGCUCAAAAUACAGGGAUGGAGGAAGAUUAACCAAGCAAAUGGCAAGCA
Long non-coding RNA from Sapajus apella (tufted capuchin), 159 nucleotides. RefSeq lists it as uncharacterized. The record is from RefSeq and is a predicted model, not a curated record. Lineage: Eukaryota; Metazoa; Chordata; Mammalia; Primates; Cebidae. The transcript has 2 exons.